GGUGCUCUGAGGCUGGGAUUUCACUUUUAAGGACAAUCAGUCAAGGAAAUUAAGGAGACUGCUACCAUUUGUCUGCUUCGGAUGCCAACAUCGAUUACAGAAGGAAUGGAGUGAAACUGCAUGGGCUGGGUCAACAGUGAAGCCCACAGCGUAGCAAGAAGUGGAGCGUUAGACUGGCAAAAUUUGAAAGCCAGAAGA
Cyanistes caeruleus (blue tit) is the source of this 198-nucleotide non-coding RNA. Lineage: Eukaryota; Metazoa; Chordata; Aves; Passeriformes; Paridae. The record is from RefSeq and is a predicted model, not a curated record.